Macadamia integrifolia is the source of this 1072-nucleotide long non-coding RNA. RefSeq lists it as uncharacterized. The record is from RefSeq and is a predicted model, not a curated record. The transcript has 2 exons. Lineage: Eukaryota; Viridiplantae; Streptophyta; Magnoliopsida; Proteales; Proteaceae.
GUCGCCGCUUCUCUGAAACAGUCUCUCUCUCUCUCUCUCGGUCGCCGCUUCCCUGCCUCUCUCUCGGUCGCCCAAGGCAUGAGGAUGAUGUUAGUCGGCAACCCCUACGUGUGUCGUUGAAAUGGAUGGAGUAAGAAUCAUUUUGAAGCUACGAGGGGGGUGUGCGUUGAGUGGGUGCUUUCGCUUGGGAUCGACGUCGAGAUCUCCUUUUGCUGCUUUGCUUUUAUUGACUCCUUCACUGCGACCGAUACGAUGAAACCAUGUCUUAAACCCUUCUCGGAUCUCAAUCGCAAAUCCACUUCUCCCACUUUCCGCUCUAAUGGACGCCGCCGCCGCUUCUCGUCCCGCUGUUGUCAUAGAUAACGGCACUGGUUAUACAAAGAUGGGAUUUGCCCGUAAUGUUGAACCGUGUUUCAUCAUCCCCACCGUGGUUGCUGUUGACGAGUCAUUUACGAACCAAUCCAGGAGUUCUAUGAAGGGUAGUAAUUGGCUUGCCCAACACAGCGCGGGCGUAAUGGCCGAUCUUGACUUCUUCAUUGGAGACGAGGCUACUGCUCGAUCUUAAUCUAGUAAUACUUACAAUCUUGGUUACCUGAUUCGUCAUGGUCAGGUGGAGAAUUGGGAUGCCAUGGAGCGAUUCUGGCAACAGUGUAUCUUCAAUGUGACCCGGAGGAUCAUUAUUUCCUUCUCACUGAGUCUCCCCUCACUCCUCCCGAGAGUCGAGAGUAGAGAGUACACUGGCGAGAUUAUGUUUGAGACCUUAAUGUCCCGGGCCUUUAUAUUGCGGUGCAGCCAGUGCUUGCUCUUGCCGCUGGGUACACAACUUCUGGGAACAUGAUAAAGGUACUGAUAAAAAGAUUACACGUUCUAAAUACACCAAUAGUGAUGGUGCAGGUACUUCUACUACAAUUCAUCAGGGCAAUCAACGUGUACAAGGAAGACAGAUGAAUGAGCUAAGGAUACAAAUCGCAAAUCAGAUGGCAGUAGAUAAGGGUUACCCCCUGAUUUGAUUGUUUAUGUAAUAAAAUUUCAAGACACCUAUUUGCAGCUAUGAUUUUUAUUUUGUAAUUCC